Long non-coding RNA from Populus euphratica (Euphrates poplar), 986 nucleotides. RefSeq lists it as uncharacterized. The transcript has 3 exons. Lineage: Eukaryota; Viridiplantae; Streptophyta; Magnoliopsida; Malpighiales; Salicaceae. The record is from RefSeq and is a predicted model, not a curated record.
AUCAUCACUAGUUGUCUUAGAUGCACAGGUUUUUUUCGAUAAUUAUAUCUACAUAUCGAUGAGUCUUACUGCUUAAUCUUAAUAUUUUGAACUUCUCGUGCAGAAUCAACAGUCACAAAUGCAUGAUUUACAGCGCCAGGCUCAGCAGAAGUUUCGGCCGAUUCCGAAAAUGUCCUCCACAAUAUCAUCACAGCCGCUUGUGCCACGAAUGCAAAUUGGAUUUGCUGAUAGCAUGCUUCCUCAGAGGAAUCUGCUUCUCCGGUUCUGAAUGAUCAGAGUAUGAACCUGCUCUUCUAUUUUUUUCGCCUUUCAGUCAUACUUGGUGGAUGAAUUUGCAGUUAUUUCCUGCCCCUUCUUUUCUUUCGCCUGACAUCUCCUCCUGAUAUGUCCUGUUUUUCUCCCUUGCCAGAAUGGGAGGUUGUCUUCUGCUUUUCUUAUCGGAUCCAUGCAGGGCGGUGACCGACGGUGUUCAUUUUGACGCAACAAAAAAGCAAGUGCGCUCGUCGUAUGUUUACUAGAAUCUUAACAUACGAGGCUGAAGUUCAGUUGUGGCCUUUGCUUGCAGUCUAUAAUACGGGAGUAUCCAAUCCCGGUGGUGUAAUGCCCAUACAGCAGCAGCAGCAGCUUGGUUCUCAAGAGGCGUUUGGUAACAUGCAACCAAAUGCUCAGAACUUACAGUCAAGCAUGGCAGUCACACUUUAUUUUUCCUGACAAAAUAUCCUGUAACAAGGUAUACACUGUUGAAAGUUUGUGACAAGGUUGGGAGUUUGGUAAUGCGCAACCAAAUGCUCGGAAUUUACAAGAUAUGUGCCAAUGAUGAUUUGCUAUGUUGGAAGUUUGCAUACCCACUGGUAAUCAGUGUGUGCCUUUAUGGUUUGUUGGGUGGUAUGGCACGUAUCUUAAGAGUUUAUGUACCAGUUGAGUUUGGCUGUCAGAAGCUGUAUUGGCUGUCUAUCUGUGCAAUAUCCUUCACUAAUUUACACCGA